AGUAGGACGCACAGUUUAUACCGUAGCUUGCUACACCAUAGACUGUGAGUUGCGAACGGGUGAGUAACGCGUAGGUAACCUGCCUAUUAGAGGGGGAUAACUAUUGGAAACGAUAGCUAAUACCGCAUAACAGUAUGUAACACAUGUUAGAUGCUUGAAAGAUGCAAUUGCAUCGCUAGUAGAUGGACCUGCGUUGUAUUAGCUAGUAGGUAGGGUAAUGGCCUACCUAGGCGACGAUACAUAGCCGACCUGAGAGGGUGAUCGGCCACACUGGGACUGAGACACGGCCCAGACUCCUACGGGAGGCAGCAGUAGGGAAUCUUCGGCAAUGGGGGGAACCCUGACCGAGCAACGCCGCGUGAGUGAAGAAGGUUUUCGGAUCGUAAAGCUCUGUUGUUAAGGAAGAACGAGUGUGAGAAUGGAAAGUUCAUACUGUGACGGUACUUAACCAGAAAGGGACGGCUAACUACGUGCCAGCAGCCGCGGUAAUACGUAGGUCCCGAGCGUUGUCCGGAUUUAUUGGGCGUAAAGCGAGCGCAGGCGGUUAGAAAAGUCUGAAGUGAAAGGCAGUGGCUCAACCAUUGUAGGCUUUGGAAACUGUUUAACUUGAGUGCAGAAGGGGAGAGUGGAAUUCCAUGUGUAGCGGUGAAAUGCGUAGAUAUAUGGAGGAACACCGGUGGCGAAAGCGGCUCUCUGGUCUGUAACUGACGCUGAGGCUCGAAAGCGUGGGGAGCGAACAGGAUUAGAUACCCUGGUAGUCCACGCCCGUAACGAUGAGUGCU
This 782-nucleotide ribosomal RNA is filed under the name Streptococcus sp. HGH0348. RNAcentral describes it as "bacterial SSU rRNA". It matches the Rfam family "Bacterial small subunit ribosomal RNA", at positions 60 to 817 of the family's 1533-position model. Lineage: Bacteria; Bacillati; Bacillota; Bacilli; Lactobacillales; Streptococcaceae. The record is from RNAcentral.